This 468-nucleotide ribosomal RNA is filed under the name uncultured bacterium. RNAcentral's name for it is "partial 16S ribosomal RNA". It matches the Rfam family "Bacterial small subunit ribosomal RNA", at positions 28 to 507 of the family's 1533-position model. The record is from RNAcentral.
GACGAACGCUGGCGGCGUGCUUAACACAUGCAAGUCGAACGGAAAGGCCCUGCUUUUGUGGGGUGCUCGAGUGGCGAACGGGUGAGUAACACGUGAGUAACCUGCCCUUGACUUUGGGAUAACUUCAGGAAACUGGGGCUAAUACCGGAUAGGAGCUCCUGCUGCAUGGUGGGGGUUGGAAAGUUUCGGCGGUUGGGGAUGGACUCGCGGCUUAUCAGCUUGUUGGUGGGGUAGUGGCUUACCAAGGCUUUGACGGGUAGCCGGCCUGAGAGGGUGACCGGCCACAUUGGGACUGACAUACGGCCCAGACUCCUACGGGAGGCAGCAGUGGGGAAUAUUGCACAAUGGGCGGAAGCCUGAUGCAGCAACGCCGCGUGCGGGAUGACGGCCUUCGGGUUGUAACCCGCUUUCGCCUGUGACGAAGCGUGAGUGACGGUAAUGGGUAAAGAAGCACCGGCUAACUACGUG